Molecule: long non-coding RNA, 557 nt
Organism: Ananas comosus (pineapple)
Lineage: Eukaryota; Viridiplantae; Streptophyta; Magnoliopsida; Poales; Bromeliaceae
Exons: 4
Source: RefSeq, a predicted model, not a curated record
GGUUACUACCAGGGAAAGCUGAACCUCAGCUUUAGAGUGGUUUUCAAACCACUUGGGGCUAAUUUGGUGACCAGGAAGAUUAGUUUGGAAGGUGUCCAACCAAGGCGAGAUUGCAAUCGAGCCUUGGAUCCUCUUCAGUUGGCAUUGGAGGGCCUUAUAAAAGCUUAACUUGAGGGUUGGAGUCUUGUGGAGCUGAAUUUCAGACUUUUGAGGACUGUGUUGGAGCCUAGUACUAGGUGGGUUUGACCUAACCAGAACAAGUGAAGCUCCCCUAUGUUCUUUAUGUACCAUAGAGUUGGUAUAGUUAUGCGUGAUUGUGAGUAAUGUGAUUGUGGCCAUAAUGUUGAUAUAAUUGAAAUAGAAUCUCUGUGAAGUGGAGAAUCCUCAUGCACAAAAGUAUUCAUACUCCUGUUUAGUUUAGUUGAAUAACUACGAGACAAGUUAUUAUGCUUAUGAAAAUUAAAGAACCAUGACCUUCUCUUUUUACUUGUUUGAGUACAAAGUAGAGAACAAUGACAUUCUUUUGGACUCUAAAGUAGAGAACCAUGACAUGCUUU